This 1405-nucleotide ribosomal RNA is filed under the name Lacticaseibacillus rhamnosus. RNAcentral's name for it is "bacterial SSU rRNA". It matches the Rfam family "Bacterial small subunit ribosomal RNA", at positions 30 to 1403 of the family's 1533-position model. The record is from RNAcentral. Lineage: Bacteria; Bacillati; Bacillota; Bacilli; Lactobacillales; Lactobacillaceae.
AAGGUGCGGCGGCGGGCUCUCGUGAAACUCGGUCGAGUUCUGAUUAUUGAAAGGUGCUUGCAUCUUGAUUUAAUUUUGAACGAGUGGCGGACGGGUGAGUAACACGUGGGUAACCUGCCCUUAAGUGGGGGAUAACAUUUGGAAACAGAUGCUAAUACCGCAUAAAUCCAAGAACCGCAUGGUUCUUGGCUGAAAGAUGGCGUAAGCUAUCGCUUUUGGAUGGACCCGCGGCGUAUUAGCUAGUUGGUGAGGUAACGGCUCACCAAGGCAAUGAUACGUAGCCGAACUGAGAGGUUGAUCGGCCACAUUGGGACUGAGACACGGCCCAAACUCCUACGGGAGGCAGCAGUAGGGAAUCUUCCACAAUGGACGCAAGUCUGAUGGAGCAACGCCGCGUGAGUGAAGAAGGCUUUCGGGUCGUAAAACUCUGUUGUUGGAGAAGAAUGGUCGGCAGAGUAACUGUUGUCGGCGUGACGGUAUCCAACCAGAAAGCCACGGCUAACUACGUGCCAGCAGCCGCGGUAAUACGUAGGUGGCAAGCGUUAUCCGGAUUUAUUGGGCGUAAAGCGAGCGCAGGCGGUUUUUUAAGUCUGAUGUGAAAGCCCUCGGCUUAACCGAGGAAGUGCAUCGGAAACUGGGAAACUUGAGUGCAGAAGAGGACAGUGGAACUCCAUGUGUAGCGGUGAAAUGCGUAGAUAUAUGGAAGAACACCAGUGGCGAAGGCGGCUGUCUGGUCUGUAACUGACGCUGAGGCUCGAAAGCAUGGGUAGCGAACAGGAUUAGAUACCCUGGUAGUCCAUGCCGUAAACGAUGAAUGCUAGGUGUUGGAGGGUUUCCGCCCUUCAGUGCCGCAGCUAACGCAUUAAGCAUUCCGCCUGGGGAGUACGACCGCAAGGUUGAAACUCAAAGGAAUUGACGGGGGCCCGCACAAGCGGUGGAGCAUGUGGUUUAAUUCGAAGCAACGCGAAGAACCUUACCAGGUCUUGACAUCUUUUGAUCACCUGAGAGAUCAGGUUUCCCCUUCGGGGGCAAAAUGACAGGUGGUGCAUGGUUGUCGUCAGCUCGUGUCGUGAGAUGUUGGGUUAAGUCCCGCAACGAGCGCAACCCUUAUGACUAGUUGCCAGCAUUUAGUUGGGCACUCUAGUAAGACUGCCGGUGACAAACCGGAGGAAGGUGGGGAUGACGUCAAAUCAUCAUGCCCCUUAUGACCUGGGCUACACACGUGCUACAAUGGAUGGUACAACGAGUUGCGAGACCGCGAGGUCAAGCUAAUCUCUUAAAGCCAUUCUCAGUUCGGACUGUAGGCUGCAACUCGCCUACACGAAGUCGGAAUCGCUAGUAAUCGCGGAUCAGCACGCCGCGGUGAAUACGUUCCCGGGCCUUGUACACACCCGCCCGUAAAAAA